CCGACUGCUAUUUGGGUGAGGAUAAGCCAUGCGAGUUGAAUGGGAAACCUAAAGUUCCCAUGGCAAACUGCUCAGUAACACAUGAUCAACUUACCCUAUAGAGAAAAAUAACCUCGGGAAACUGAGGAUAAUGUUUCAUAGUUGAAUUGGCUUGGAAAAGUUUUUCGACGAAAGGGGUAAAAAAAAUGGUUUUUAUCUGCUAUAGGAUAGGAUCGUGUUCGAUUAUGGUUGUUGGUGAGGUAAUGGCUCACCAAGCCGAUAAUCGAUAGGGGCCGUGAGAGCGGGAGCCCCGAGAUGGGUACUGAGACAACGACCCAGGCCUUACGAGGCGCAGCAGGCGCGAAACCUCCGCAAUACACGAAAGUGUGACGGGGUUACCCAAAGUGUUCAAUUUUGAACUGUGGUAGGUGAGUAAUGUUCCCUACUAGAAAGGAGAGGGCAAGGCUGGUGCCAGCCGCCGCGGUAGAACCAGCUCUUCAAGUGGUCGGGAUAAUUAUUGGGCUUAAAGUGUCCGUAGCCGGUUUAGCAAGUUCCUGGUAAAAUCGGGUAGCUUAACUAUCUAUAUGCUGGGAAUACUACUAUACUAGAGGGCGGGAGAGGUCUGAGGUACUGCAGGGGUAGGGGUGAAAUCUUAUAAUCCUUGUUGGACCACCAGUGGCGAAGGCGUCAGACUGGAACGCGCCUGACGGUGAGGGACGAAAGCCAGGGGAGCGAACCGGAUUAGAUACCCGGGUAGUCCUGGCCGUAAACGAUGCAUACUAGGUGAUGGCACGGCCAUGAGCCGUGUCAGUGCCGUAGGGAAACCGUUAAGUGUGCCGCCUGGGAAGUACGGUCGCAAGGCUAAGACUUAAAGGAAUUGGCGGGGGAGCACCACAAGGGGUGAAGCCUGCGGUUCAUU
RNAcentral lists this ribosomal RNA (898 nucleotides) under uncultured archaeon. RNAcentral's name for it is "bacterial SSU rRNA". It matches the Rfam family "Archaeal small subunit ribosomal RNA", at positions 23 to 906 of the family's 1478-position model. The record is from RNAcentral.